UUUUUUUUUUUUUUUUGGCUUUAUCUUUUCCCUAUCAAAAUCAAUACCAAGUGAUAUUCUGAGUUUUCGAUAUUCUUUACAACAACAUAUACAUUUCUGCUUGAAAAUUUUAAUGUGAGUUAAGAAAAUGGUACUCAAUCUCUCGUCAAUGAGACUUUGAAGGUAACAGGUUGAUGAUAUCAACGAAAUUUUAGAUAAUCAAAAUCUUGCCAUUUUGCAUUCAUAGUUAGGCAUGCCGACAUCCAAUUACCUUACAGAUGAAGUAAUAUACAUAUACAGUGAUAACACAUGAGGAGAACUCAGGGGUUUACACACGAAGCACGAGAACUUUCCUAACAAUUUCUAGCAACAAAUAAAGUGCAAUAAUGUAAAAUCUGAAUCUAACCUCACCUCCCUCUCUAUGCAGGGACAGCCUCAACAAGUCUUGCAAAGUAGAAUUGAGUGGUGAUUAAGCCUCUCUUUCUUAUUUUCCACCCAACCUUCUGUAGCGCCCUCUCCACAUCAGCUUCGGCGUGGAGAUAAGCCCUCGUUGCCUUUGAAGGCCCAGGAAACAACUCGCCCACCCUCUUUAACAAAUCAUAAUAAAAUGUCUUUGGCGCAAAGCUAAGAAUAAGUCGCUUUUCAGCCAAUGAAGCAAGGUGAGCAAUCAUCCCAUCUGCCUUACUUUGUGGGUAAUGUAUCAAAACAUCUAAGCAGACUACUGUGUCGUACUUCCCAUCUAAACUCUCUAGAUCCUUCACUUCAAAUUUCGGCAUCACUGGUGCUUCCCCUCCAUUGUCUGCUAACAGCUCCUCUUCUGCCUGCAUAAAUUUAACAAAUAAGGAUAAAAUAUCAAAUGUUUUUAAUUUUUAGAACAAUCACAUUUUCCAAGUUCCAAUAAUGCAACAUACGACGAGUCGUUUUACCUUCUUCCUAGCUUCAGCAACCAUUGCGGCCGAAAUAUCGCUGGCCGAGACAAUCGCCCCUUGUUUCGCCAACGGAAUCGCCAGACUGCCGGUCCCACACCCUGCGUCACAAACCGCAAUUCCUUUCAGCGAGCCUUCGUCAUUCAACAUCUGCAUCGUAUUCUCAACGGUCUUCGAGUGACCUAACCGAAUGUCAAGCUGAACUCUGUUAACGUCAUCGGUCUCGCCGUAAAUCUUCUUCCAACGCUGGAACCCCGAGUUGUUGAAGUACUCUCUCACGACCUCUUUGUCUCCGCCUCCGACUUCCUCGGCCUGGAGCUGGCGCCGGCGCUCGGGGUCGACGAGGGAGAGGACGGCGGCGAGUGCUGCGAUUGAGCCGCCGCUGAUGACGGCGGUAAUUUUAUUUUACAUUAAAACAAAAAAUUUGACUUUCUAAAAGUACCUGGAGGAUGAGAUGCUGAAGGAGAGUGGGGGAAUUGCAGCUACUGGUUUGCACAGAAGCGGCGUCGUUUUACUUGUUUUGCCGCGGUUCGGCGAGAGUGUAGAGGAGUUGUUGUAGAAUGGAAUGUGGGAAGACAGUGAAGCUGUGAAUGCCAUUUUAUUUUAUUUUUUUAAGUUUCAGUGAUAUUUUGUGUUUCCCGCCGGUGAGGGAGAGGGGAAGGGGAAAAGGGUAAGGUCGUUACGUGGUGACGUGGCGAGUGGGGAGUGGCUCAGUUGGUGAUGUUUUUGAUAAUUAUUGACGUUGGAGAUAAGAUAGAUUUUCAUGGGCGCUUUAUUUCUGUGGGGCCUGCUUUCUUGGGCUGGACCAAUAGAAGGUGAAAUGCUUUCAUGGGCCCUUGAUUUUGUUGUUUCUGAAAUGGUUUAUAACUAAUAUUUAAUUUGAAAAUGUGUUGGAUAGUGGAUACUGUGUUUUCAGACUUCUAUUGUAAAAUGAAAACUGAAAAAAAAAAAAGUAAAAAUCAUGUUUGAUUCGAUUGCUUGAACGGUGAAUUACAACCGAACAAACCCAUUUAGUGUAACCCAGUUUUACGGAUGCUGAGUCCGUACUCAUUUAUUUCACCCGAUUCGAUUUGUAGUAAAUGGGUUUAUAUUUAGAAAAUUAAUUCAAUUAAUAAAUAGGUAACUUAUUAAUAAAAUGAAUUACUUAUUUACUUUUAUAUUUUAAACAAUUUAGGUUAAUAAACACGGUUAACUUCUAGCGCAAUAUUGUAAUCGAAUUAGAAAAAGACAAAAUGAAACAUAAAUAUUAUAUGGUACAUAACAUUUAUCUAAUAUUAUAUAUUAUUUUAAGGUUAAAUCAAACUAAAAUUUUAGUUAAGCAAAUUGAUUCGUUUAUAAAAUAGAUUAAUUCUGAGUUAGCCAAAUUUUGAAGAAACUCGUUUAAAAUUCGACAGGAAUUCAGCUCAUCAACUCAAUUGCUACCCUCAGUUUUCAUCAUUUAUAAUUAAUUUAUUGGAUAAUUUUAAAUAUCCACAAAAAUCUAUCUAGAAACAAUAUCCUAAUAAGUUAGCUUGCUCAUUAAGCUGUAGAUAAUUUUAAUUUUUUUUUAAAUAAUUUAUUGCAUUAUUUUUCUAUUGCACGAUGGUGCCAACUCAUUGAGAUUUAUGUUGCAUUGCUCUUUAUUUUAAUUAGUUUUAGAUUAUGUUUGGUAUAACUUUUCAAAUAGAGCGAACCAAACAAGCACUUUUUAGACGUAUUGUUUUGUUUGUGUUGAGUCAAAUCUACUCCGUUUUUUUUUGCUGUAGAAAAGAAAUCCCUUCCCCCGCUUUCAAAAAUGAUGAAAAUUAAGUUCGUGGGGCUGCAGCUGUAGGUAUUAUGGAUUCUCUAACUCCCAAUCGGGCUUUACAAAAAAAAAUAUAUAGUUGAUUGGUUGUAAAUGUAAGUUUUUAUUAAAAUUUAUAAAAUCAUCUUAAUAACUAAGUUUUUUAAAAUUAUAUUAUAAAAUGAAUCAAGUAAGAUUAUUAAAUGGGUAAACUAUAUUUUAAAUAUUUAAAAAAUCAACCUCUACUUCUAAAAUCUCAAAAUUUAAAAUUUUACUAAUAGAAGCAAAAUAACUUAUUUAAUUUUCAAAAAUUAUAUUAAAUAAAUUUAAACAACAACAAAAAUUUAAAAUGAACUUAUGAAAUAAAUAAAAACUUAUACUAAUCAAAUAAAAUAUACUAAACACACUUAAAAUACUUCCUCAUAGCAUCAUUAAAUCGCAAUAUGAAUGAACGAGGGAAAACUUCAAAAAGCAGAUUCUAAACGAUACAAAAGAUUUGUUAAAGAUUACAAAUCUUAUUGUUUUUUUUUUUUUUUUGAUGAGAGCAGAAUAUUAUUGUUAAGAGCAGAAUAUUAUCAAAUAUUAUUGUUUAAUUAUCUUAUAGUCUGUCCAAGACCAUAACACGUCACAGUCAACCAACAAAGCCAAAAGGUGGGGUAUGAGCUUUGACCAUUAUUAAUUGCAUAACUAGGGAAUAAUUGGUGCAAACCCAACUUAGAAGAUAAGAUAACAAAAACCUGAAUGUUCAUAUAAAUUCUGAAUAAAUUAAUUUAUCGAAAUACGAAAUUGUUUAUUUAUUAGAUUGUUCACGAUUUUCCAAAAAUAGUAGCACACAUAUGUGUAAUAAAUUCUUUAAAUAAAAAAUCCAAGAUGGCGAAUCUUUAAUAAAAAUGGAAGAAAAUCAAAUUUAGAUACAACAGUAAAAGCGUGGGGUGCCACGCUAUUGGCUGGCCAAGACCAAAUGAUAAACGAUUGGUCACAGUAGAAGCGGGCAAAUACUUUUUCAAACAUACACGCCCUUCAUUGUCUCUCCGUUUAAUCUUAAAGUUGCAAGUUAAUUAUAUUUCCUUGGAUUAAAUGCUAAUCCUUUCAUAAGAUUGUAAUAUACCUGUAAUUUAAAUCUUAACUGCAUGCACGUGGCUCUGUAAGACUGUAAGUCUUGAUAAAGCUCACAGACACAUAGUGACUCGAUAACGACUCUGAAUACUAAAACAACUGGGCUCACAAUAUUCCAUUUCCAUCACUCACAAAGACAAACAAGAAUUAUCAAGAGCUUGGCUUUCAUUUUCACAGGCCAGCCAUUAGAAAACAAGAAAAUAAGUGAUAAUACUACUGACUUUGGUUCUCUCGGCUGAGUUUUUUUUUUUUUUUUUGGUUUACUUUAUCUGCUCAAAUUUAAGCGUUUGUGCUAACUGGGCAUCAACAGUCAUCAAUGGUGAAUCAAGUUUGCUUAGUAGUGGUUUUUUUUUUGUCUUUAUUAUGCGUGGAGUCGAAGUACAUGAUGUAUAAUACCUCGGCCGGGAUUGUGCCGGGGAAGAUCAAUGUUCAUUUGGUGCCCCAUUCGCAUGAUGAUGUUGGUUGGUUGAAAACCGUGGAUCAAUAUUAUGUUGGCUCCAAUAACAGCAUUCAGGUUCUUCUUCUUUAUAUGUGCACUCACUUUUAUUGAAAUGAAUGGUUUCUUUUUUGAUGAUUAAUGGGAUGCCUAUAUGCAGGUGGCUUGUGUGCAAAAUGUGCUUGAUUCUCUAAUUCCGGCACUGGUGGCUGAUAAGAACAGGAAGUUCAUAUAUGUUGAACAGGCAAUCACUCAUGGCUUUUUUUUUUUGGUUUUUUAAGUUUUGAUUUCCUAUUGGAAAUUUAUGCCCACGGACUUGUUGUUUUCUCGAUAAGUAUAGGCAUUCUUCCAGAGGUGGUGGAGAGACCAGAGUGAGGAAGUUCAGAAUGUAGUGAAGCAGCUGGUCAACUCCGGUCAACUUGAGCUAAUGUAACAUUCUCCUAUCUUUGAAGUGUUAAAAUCUAUAUAUCAUAAAGAAGCUUUUCUUCUUAAAACUAUGUUGCGGUAGCAUCUAGCCACUGACAAUGGAUUACUGAAGAAUGAAGAUUAGUGCUUUAAAGGGAAUUUUGUUUUCUGGGUUGUGAUUUUCUCAUUAUUGGUGUGCAGAAAUGGGGGUAUGUGCAUGCACGACGAGGCAGCCCCACAUUACAUUGACAUGAUCGAUCAGACAACUCUUGGGCAUCGAUACAUCAAAGAACAAUUCAAUGUGACUCCAAGAAUUGGUUGGCAAAUUGAUCCAUUUGGGCAUUCUGCAGUGCAGGCUUACCUGUUGAGCGCUGAGGUAUUAUAUGCGAUCUCUUUAACUCCCUCACUAGUCCACAUGCUUUAUGCAACAAAUUGGUGAACACAAAAGCUUCCUUAUUGGCCUAGGUUGGAAGCGUUUGUGCUAACUGGGCAUCAACAGUCAUCAAUGGUGAAUCAAGUUUGCUUAGUAGUGGUUUUUUUUUUGUCUUUAUUAUGCGUGGAGUCGAAGUACAUGAUGUAUAAUACCUCGGCCGGGAUUGUGCCGGGGAAGAUCAAUGUUCAUUUGGUGCCCCAUUCGCAUGAUGAUGUUGGUUGGUUGAAAACCGUGGAUCAAUAUUAUGUUGGCUCCAAUAACAGCAUUCAGGUU
Molecule: long non-coding RNA, 5330 nt
Filed under: Citrus sinensis (sweet orange)
Lineage: Eukaryota; Viridiplantae; Streptophyta; Magnoliopsida; Sapindales; Rutaceae
Description: long non-coding RNA (CSIN_LNC003047)
Source: RNAcentral